This 496-nucleotide unclassified non-coding RNA is filed under the name Hevea brasiliensis (rubber tree). Lineage: Eukaryota; Viridiplantae; Streptophyta; Magnoliopsida; Malpighiales; Euphorbiaceae. The record is from RNAcentral.
AAAAAAAGGAAACAGAUGGAAAUUGUGGAGGAUGUGGUGGUCGGUGGUGGCAUAGCUGGGUUGGCCACCGGAGUUGCCUUCAAAAGAGUUGGGGUUCAAGCUUUGAUCUUGGAGAGAUCAGAAACUCUCCGUACCACUGGUGCAGCUUUAGGCCUACUUCCAAAUGCUUGGCUCGCUCUUGAUGCUCUUGGCAUUUCUCAUAAGCUCACUUCUAGAUAUGCUCCUUCCUUAAGGUACAUAUACUGAUGCGAUGCUGCUCUCCUACCUUCUGAUCACAAUAAGUUUGAAAUUUUGUUUAAUUAAUUUUUAAGUGUCUCUUAAGUUUUAAUCCUCACAUAAUUAUUUGGGGGUUUGUAACCAAUGUGGCUGCUGGAGCUGUUCAGGAAAUCUUCUACUCUGAAGCCGAAGGUAAGGAGCCCAGAACAGUUCAUCGCAAAGCACUAUUAGAAGCUCUAGCACAAGAAUUGCCUGAUGAUUCAAUUCGAUUUUCUUCCAA